RNAcentral lists this ribosomal RNA (464 nucleotides) under uncultured bacterium. Its description in RNAcentral is "partial 16S ribosomal RNA". It matches the Rfam family "Bacterial small subunit ribosomal RNA", at positions 28 to 507 of the family's 1533-position model. The record is from RNAcentral.
GACGAACGCUGGCGGCGUGCUUAACACAUGCAAGUCGAACGGAAAGGCCCCUUUGGGGGUCCUCGAGUGGCGAACGGGUGCGUAACACGUGAGUAACCUGCCCUUGACUUCGGGAUAACUUCAGGAAACUGGGGCUAAUACCGGAUAGGCAUCCUUGCUGCAUGGUGGGGGUUGGAAAGCUUCGGCGGUUUUGGAUGGACUCGCGGCUUAUCAGCUUGUUGGUGGGGUAGUGGCUUACCAAGGCUUUGACGGGUAGCCGGCCUGAGAGGGCGACCGGCCACAUGGGGACUGAGAUACGGCGCAGACUCCUACGGGAGGCAGCAGUGGGGAAUAUUGCACAAUGGGCGGAAGCCUGAUGCAGCAACGCCGCGUGCGGGAUGACGGCCUUCGGGUUGUAAACCGCUUUCAGCAGGGGCGAAGCUUUUGUGACGGUACCUGCAGAAGAAGCACCGGCUAACUACGUG